AAGAACUUUUUGGAAUCGGCUGGUGGACCAGCCUUCGUCAGAGUACUGUAAUUGUGAUGGCCUCUGCCAAAGGUCGCAGCGAUACCAACGUGCUGGGCAGAAAACGUUGAGAGCGGGGGCCGACGGCCAAGAUUUCAGCGGCACGAGAUCGUCACGGCAUUCGCAGUUGUCCGGUCAAUACUUGAACAUGCCAGCAUGGUUUGGGAUCCUUGGACACGAGUGAACAUAGACAAACUGGAAAGAGUACAGAGCACAAAAACCCUUCUAACUUCUGCAUAAUUUGACGGGCAACCAAGGCAUGUAGAGCUAAUACAGCUGAAGACUCCCGAACGACAGCCAGCUGUGACAGUAUCGCUGAAUUGCUAUAGGCACUGCAUCGCGUAAACCCAGGUCAGCAUGUCACCGAUUGUGCCGUCCGAAUACGCUAGUGUUCAACUGCGAGUGCAAGAGCGUCCUAGCAAAUAAAACAGGUGCGUGAAUUCACGUGAAGUAGGGCGUGUACCAUCGUUUGAUUUGUUUCAAUGAAAGACUGAUAAUAAAAGAUCGUAUACACAAGAAAAAUGGCGUCUUGAAACCUGCCGUGACGCGUCGCAGUUUUCAGAUAUGAAGGGCGCAUACGCUGGCGAAGUCUGACCGAACAGCGGACGUGAGUAACGGACUUUUUUUUUUCUUUUUUGUCUCGCAAUCGAGUUUUCUUCGACGUGAUGUGAAAAGCUCCUUGAACCGCGGUUUCCACCAAAGCGUGCAGUUAUCUGACGUGGUUUAUUGUGAUAUUAGCUUUUCUAUUCAGUUUUGAUGUGCGCAACAUCAUGCAACCACACUGUCAUUUUGCAGUAUGUACGCAACACUGCGGCCUCAGCAGGGCGCUAGUAGUAAUAAGCAUACGUCCUCAUUGCGUGCAAUGCGCGCAAAAUAUUGGACUCCGUCUCAGCUUGUUUUUGAAACCUGGUGUUGUUGGCUAGACUGCGAAGUGCUUCAGACUUGCCUUCUCUCUUUCUUUUCUCCUCCCCCUCCUCCUCUUAUAGUUGCUUUCUGCGUUAACUAUAGGGCUACGAUUAGGUGCAGCCCGUGGCGAACGCUACGCGUUAGAGAGUUUAUCACGCUUGUGUCAUAAUAAUGUGUCACUGAAAUGGAAUCUACGAGGCAAGCUGUGCUUCUCGAGACGCCGCCUGAGACUGCAUUUCACGUGUGCGCAGACGACACUCUAACGCGUCGUCUGUUUGACGUCUCUCGGUCAACAACUCCGGUGCGAGCCCUACUAAACUAUCUUUCGCAGUAAUGUGACCUGGAUUACGCUUCAGACGGGGCAUAUAGACGCUCGUACGCGGAGAAACGCGCGAUGCAUUCGCACGGACGCGCUCGCGAUUGGCUGACACCGGCUGCAGCUUCCGGUAUAGCAGCGCCAUAUUAUUGUGAAAAAAGUGCAGAAGGGCCCUCGCGAGAGCUCGAAGUCUACCGAGAAGUGCACGACGCGACCAGACGCGACGUUCUCGUGGUAGGGCGUCAGCGUGACCCCGCCGCUGCAGACGGCGUGCCCCGUCAGUCACUCGUCGUCAGUCGUGAGCAGCGUUACCUCAAAGAAAACCGCCGUGAAUGAAAUAUACAGUAGCGCAUCACGCCUGCGCGGAGGAAGGCUGUAGCGACGACAUCUGACAUAACUUCUUGCAUUCUUACGCAUUUCUUUUUUUCAGGCGGCAAGCGUUAUGUACAACAGCCCGGAAGUGCAGCCGGCGGCAGACGAGCGCGCCCCAUUCCAACCCGACUGCUUCCGACGUCCGAUCGUGACCGAUUCGAAACGGUGACGACAUCUGGGUGUAACGUGACAGCACCGUUCUUUUUUGUUUGGUGUCGUUUUGUUUUUGUUUUCCUUUCUUCGUCUGCUUGCUCGCCGGACGCUGCACUCUGGUGCACUCGAUGUCGCUUUGCCGUUGUAACACUUCGCGGCUAAUUCAUUCUCUCCGUGUGCCUCAUCGAUCACCAUCUUAUCGGUUGUUUUUUUUUCCGCUUCGAACGUAGGUUGAGGCGUUUUUACGCGCAUUGCAUUCCAAGCGCAGCCUCAACAUUAGGGCCCCAUUUUGCUAGCCUUAUAAAUGUGCAGUAAUCAUCUAUGCGCCUGUAUAUCGUUUUUGUUCUUAUUGUUUUACUAAUCGUUUCAAAGCAGGUUUUUUGUGUACACAUUGGACAUAUGUGACGCGUUGGGCUGAAUUGUCAUACCAGUUCCUGUUAUUGACGUAGAACCACGGGGUUCCAGUAUUUCUCAAGGUGAACACUCAAGCCAAAGGAUGUAGCCUGAAACUCAAGCCAUCGCACGACGUUGGGUCACUAAUAAAAUCAUUAUUCUCUUUGUCAA
Long non-coding RNA from Dermacentor andersoni, 2350 nucleotides. RefSeq lists it as uncharacterized. The record is from RefSeq and is a predicted model, not a curated record. NCBI's taxonomy places the organism in Eukaryota, Metazoa, Arthropoda, Arachnida, Ixodida, Ixodidae.